Molecule: ribosomal RNA, 252 nt
Filed under: uncultured bacterium
Lineage: Bacteria
Description: partial 16S ribosomal RNA
Rfam family: Bacterial small subunit ribosomal RNA
Source: RNAcentral
UACGAAGGGGGCUAGCGUUGCUCGGAAUCACUGGGCGUAAAGGGUGCGUAGGCGGGUCUUUAAGUCAGGGGUGAAAUCCUGGAGCUCAACUCCAGAACUGCCUUGAUACUGAAGAUCUUGAGUUCGGGAGAGGUGAGUGGAACUGCGAGUGUAGAGGUGAAAUUCGUAGAUAUUGGGAAGAACACCGGUGGCGAAGGCGGCUCACUGGCUCGUAACUGACGCUCAUGCACGACAGCGUGGGGAGCGAACAGG